UCCGUUGCCAGUGAUUCGCCGCCGCUGAAGCUCGUCACUGCUGCCGUGCCACCGCCGCGGAGAGAGGAAGUGACGCGAUUAAAGAGAGGAGGAGGAAGGAGACCCGUGCACCGUCGGAGGCAGUUUUGCCCAGUCGCCGGCGUCGUCUUCGUCUGAACCACCACCAGAUCCAUCGCUACCGAAGCUUCUAGCUGCGCCUCUGCCAUCGGCGGAGCUUGCCGUCAUGGGAGGGUUUGCUAUCUCAGUCCCUUGAAGUUACCGCCGGUUCUGUUCUUGCCGGUGAGGGUCGUCGGAGCUGCCGCAAUUCCAGUCUCUUGUUCCUCUGAUAAGGUUAUUCUGUCAAACCACAGUAGAUUAUUAGAUUUACCGCUAUUGUCGUUUUGUAGCAGCCUCGCGGUGUUGUUCCAUGGUCGCUGUUGUUGGAAGAGGCAGUCGAAGUGGCUGCCAUGAAUUAAAAGGAAAGGGAGUUGUUACAAUAGGUUUAUGCGAACUUGAGUAAUUGAGGAGUUGUGGUUGCUGCAUAAGCGGUUUGGAGCUGAGGCUGCAGCUGCCACUGAUUGCGGGCCGAAAAGAAAGGGCCUCUUGAUGCGUUUGGUUUAUGGGUUUCGAUUAUUCGAGGAACCAGAUGAAGAAGCAUUAAGAGAAGUUAUACUGCG
Molecule: non-coding RNA, 656 nt
Organism: Arachis ipaensis
Lineage: Eukaryota; Viridiplantae; Streptophyta; Magnoliopsida; Fabales; Fabaceae
Source: RefSeq, a predicted model, not a curated record